This 254-nucleotide ribosomal RNA is filed under the name uncultured bacterium. RNAcentral's name for it is "partial 16S ribosomal RNA". It matches the Rfam family "Bacterial small subunit ribosomal RNA", at positions 524 to 776 of the family's 1533-position model. The record is from RNAcentral.
UACGAAGGGGGCUAGCGUUGCUCGGAAUUACUGGGCGUAAAGCGCACGUAGGCGGCUUUCUAAGUCGGGGGUGAAAUCCUGGAGCUCAACUCCAGAACUGCCUUCGAUACUGGAGAGCUUGAGUCCGGGAGAGGUGAGUGGAACUGCGAGUGUAGAGGUGAAAUUCGUAGAUAUUCGGAAGAACACCAGUGGCGAAGGCGACUUACUGGACACAUAUUGACGCUGAGGUGCGAAAAGCGUGGGGAGCAAACAGG